RNAcentral lists this unclassified non-coding RNA (275 nucleotides) under Enterococcus faecalis V583. RNAcentral describes it as "Ref34B". The stretch from base 81 to 186 matches the Rfam family "Enterococcus sRNA 2410". The record is from RNAcentral. Lineage: Bacteria; Bacillati; Bacillota; Bacilli; Lactobacillales; Enterococcaceae.
AAUUCUUAAUUAAAUCAGUUUUGGAGUGAUUCUUAUGACAACAACGAAGAAAAACCAUACACAACUGAAUAACUUUUACUUUAGCUAUUUUAGAUAGGUUUGUAUUCAUAACAUUAUGGGUACAGACAACAAACGUUUGUAUCUAUAAUGGCUAGGGAAAUUUAAGAUGACUUUCAGCCAUGUAGAUUUAAGAAAAUCUAUAGUGGCUUUUAUAUUGCUUUUUUGUAGGGUAUUCACUGUAGAUUUUUCUUAAAAUUUACUGUGAAUAUCCUUUU